RNAcentral lists this ribosomal RNA (477 nucleotides) under uncultured bacterium. RNAcentral's name for it is "partial 16S ribosomal RNA". It matches the Rfam family "Bacterial small subunit ribosomal RNA", at positions 28 to 507 of the family's 1533-position model. The record is from RNAcentral.
GACGAACGCUGGCGGCGUGCUUAACACAUGCAAGUCGAACGGUGAAGCGCCUUCCUUUUUGGUGGGUGUGGAUGAGUGGCGAACGGGUGCGUAACACGUGCGUAACCUGCCCCCUUCUUCUGGAUAACCGCAUGAAAGUGUGUCUAAUACGGGAUAUUCUGCGCCUGUCGCAUGAUGGGUCUGGGAAAGCUAUUGUUUCGGUGGGGGCUGGUCUCGCGGCCUAUCAGCUUGUUGGUGGGGUGCUGGCCUACCAAGGCGGUGACGGGUAGCCGGCCUGAGAGGGAGUGAGGCACCGUCGAGACUGCGAUGGGACGCAGCAGCGGAGAAUAGGGAACAGUGGGGACGAGCGUAAUGCAGGGGGGACGCGGGAGGGAUGGAGGCCUUCGGGUGGUGAACCGCUUUCGGUAGUGAAGCAGGUCUGCCUGGGAUGUGGGGGGAUUGACGGUACCGGGAGAAGAAGCGCCGGCUAACUACGUG